RNAcentral lists this ribosomal RNA (612 nucleotides) under uncultured bacterium. Its description in RNAcentral is "bacterial SSU rRNA". It matches the Rfam family "Bacterial small subunit ribosomal RNA", at positions 338 to 948 of the family's 1533-position model. The record is from RNAcentral.
CCUACGGGAGGCAGCAGUAAGGAAUAUUGGUCAAUGGGGGCAACCCUGAACCAGCCAUGCCGCGUGCAGGAAGACGGCCCUACGGGUUGUAAACUGCUUUUAUACGGGAAUAAACCUCUCUUCGUGAAGAGAGCUGAAUGUACUGUAAGAAUAAGGAUCGGCUAACUCCGUGCCAGCAGCCGCGGUAAUACGGAGGAUCCAAGCGUUAUCCGGAUUUAUUGGGUUUAAAGGGUGCGUAGGCGGCCUAUUAAGUCAGGGGUGAAAGACGGUGGCUCAACCAUCGCAGUGCCCUUGAUACUGAUGGGCUUGAUUACACUUGAGGUAGGCGGAAUGUGACAAGUAGCGGUGAAAUGCAUAGAUAUGUCACAGAACACCAAUUGCGAAGGCAGCUUACUAAGGUGUUAAUGACGCUGAGGCACGAAAGCGUGGGGAUCAAACAGGAUUAGAUACCCUGGUAGUCCACGCCCUAAACGAUGAAUACUCGAUGUUAGCGAUAUACAGUUAGCGUCAAAGCGAAAGUGUCAAGUAUUCCACCUGGGGAGUACGCCCGCAAGGGUGAAACUCAAAUGAAAUUGACGGCGNGAGAGNGCGAGACGACGACGAGGGAGGAGG